GCAAGUCGAACGGGCUAGUGCUUCGCACUAGUCUCUUUCUGGGGUUGUUACUCUAAGGCUACCUGCUAAAGUUAUUGCUUUAAAGGCAGGGGUUUUAGGAGACUUUCCCCGAAAGGGGCCAGUGCGGAGCACUGGCCAGUGGCGAACGGGUGAGUAACACGUGGGUAAUCUACCCUCGAGUGGGGAAUAAGCUUCCGAAAGGGGGUCUAAUGCCGCAUAACGUUUCAUAACGAUGGUUAUGAAACCAAAGCCCAAAAGGCGCUCGAGGAGGAGCCUGCGUCCUAUCAGCUUGUUGGCAGGGUAAUGGCCUACCAAGGCUAUGACGGGUAGCCGGCCUGAGAGGGUGUCCGGCCACACUGGAACUGAGACACGGUCCAGACUCCUACGGGAGGCAGCAGUGGGGAAUUUUGCGCAAUGGGGGAAACCCUGACGCAGCGACGCCGCGUGGAGGAUGACGGCCUUCGGGUUGUAAACUCCUGUCAGAAGGGACGAAAUCCCGCAAGGGACUGACGGUACCUUCAGAGGAAGCCCCGGCUAACUACGUG
RNAcentral lists this ribosomal RNA (545 nucleotides) under uncultured bacterium. RNAcentral describes it as "bacterial SSU rRNA". It matches the Rfam family "Bacterial small subunit ribosomal RNA", at positions 57 to 507 of the family's 1533-position model. The record is from RNAcentral.